Molecule: long non-coding RNA, 268 nt
Organism: Aegilops tauschii subsp. strangulata
Lineage: Eukaryota; Viridiplantae; Streptophyta; Magnoliopsida; Poales; Poaceae
Source: RefSeq, a predicted model, not a curated record
UCGCCUUCUUGAUGUUGUUGUGAUUUUCCUCCAGGUCUGCUGUUGUGAUGGCCGAAGGAAGAGCAAGGAGGGGGAGGAGGGAUGGCAGAGGAGGUUAACAUCUAUAACUUUUAUUAUGAAGCUAAGCUUCUAGACACACAUCUGAUCUAGUAGUUAUUUGUAUGAGUUGACAAGACAUUCGACAUGAAGCUAUUAGAAUACACCCCGUUCGAUUGUGUAAAUGUGUUCUUUGAUCAACCAAACCUUGGUGAAUGUGCAAUCAGGGGGA